UUUGGCCUACGGGAGGCAGCAGUAGGGAAUUUUGCGCAAUGGGCGAAAGCCUGACGCAGCAACACCGCGUGAAUGUUAAGCCCUUCGGGGUGUAAAGUUCUGUCAAUAGGGACGAAUUUUGACUGUACCUAUAAAGGAAGCACCGGCUAACUCCGUGCCAGCAGCCGCGGUAAUACGGGGGGUGCAAGCGUUGUCCGGAAUCAUUGGGCGUAAAGCGUUCGUAGGCGGCAAGGUAAGUCUGAUAUUAAAGCCCGGGGCUCAACUCCGGUUCGGCAUUGGUUACUAUCUAGCUAGAAUGUGGUAGG
This 305-nucleotide ribosomal RNA is filed under the name uncultured bacterium. RNAcentral describes it as "bacterial SSU rRNA". It matches the Rfam family "Bacterial small subunit ribosomal RNA", at positions 333 to 655 of the family's 1533-position model. The record is from RNAcentral.